AACGAACGCUGGCGGCAUGCCUAACACAUGCAAGUCGAACGAGACCUUCGGGUCUAGUGGCGCACGGGUGCGUAACGCGUGGGAACCUGCCCUUAGGUUCGGAAUAACUCCCCGAAAGGGGUGCUAAUACCGGAUAAUGUCUUCGGACCAAAGAUUUAUCGCCUUUGGGUGGGCCCGCGUUGGAUUAGCUAGUUGGUAGGGUAAUAGCCUACCAAGGCGACGAUCCAUAGCUGGUCUGAGAGGAUGAUCAGCCACACUGGGACUGAGACACGGCCCAGACUCCUACGGGAGGCAGCAGUGGGGAAUACUGGACAAUGGGCGAAAGCCUGAUACAGCAAUGCCGCGUGAGUGAUGAAGGCCUUAGGGUUGUAAAGCUCUUUUACCCGGGAUGAUAAUGACAGUACCGGGAGAAUAAGCUCCGGCUAACUCCGUG
Molecule: ribosomal RNA, 433 nt
Filed under: uncultured bacterium
Lineage: Bacteria
Description: partial 16S ribosomal RNA
Rfam family: Bacterial small subunit ribosomal RNA
Source: RNAcentral